UUAACCCAACAUACCUUAGCUGAAAAUAUUCUUUUACAUAGGAAACGUAAUAUUGGUUGUUAGCUAUUACUAGAAACAACUCAGCACCGAUAACGAAUUUCCUCGUUCCUAUUCGAGCCUUUUCCUUUGAAUAGAUCCACCUGCUAAGUAUUGUAGAAAAGCGAUCCCAACAUUUUGUCCCUUUUCCCCCUUUUGCUUCACUCUUGCAUCGGAAAUAUUUAGUUCCGCCUAUUCCAUUUAGAAAACAUCAAUGUCAACCAAAUCAAUUGAACUACAACUUCCGUGAGCAUCCAAAUCCAAAAUAUUUUCGAGAAUGGGUACCUCAUUGAUACCAACAAAUUCAUUGUAAAAUUGAUUUUGCAGCGUUAUAGGAGUUCACCUCCAACACCGAACAAGCCCUCAACGAGAGAUUGUGAAUCCACUUUUCAUGAAUUGAUAAUAUAAAAAUAUAAAUGAAGAUGAAAUAACAAAUGAAUAUGGAACAGUUUGAUAAACGUAGGAAUGUAAAUUGUAAUGAUAGCAUAUAAAAUAUUAUAUAGUGAAUAUUCAUUGUAAUUUGUAUAUAAAGUAAAUAAGAGUAUGGACGAGAGUAAUAUUCUAAAUUUAUCAGAAUAUUGAAGGUAGAAUACAGUAGAUUGUUGAAUGUGGAAGAGAAUAAGAGUAGUUAUGUGAAAGUUGCAAAAUGAUUUAGAAUAUUUAUGAAGUUAAAAAGGGGACCAAACCACUAUUUCCAAUAGUUCAGUGACCAGCCUGCUCACGUGGGCUUGCCCACGAGGCGAGCCAAGCCGAGCCAAUUCAGCUCAUUGGCACGCUCUGCUUGAGUAGCCCACUAGUCGAGCGAUCGAGCUGCUCCCUU
RNAcentral lists this long non-coding RNA (856 nucleotides) under Olea europaea (common olive). Its description in RNAcentral is "long non-coding RNA (OEUR_LNC005163)". Lineage: Eukaryota; Viridiplantae; Streptophyta; Magnoliopsida; Lamiales; Oleaceae. The record is from RNAcentral.